UACGGGGGGGGCAAGCGUUGUUCGGAAUUACUGGGCGUAAAGGGCUCGUAGGCGGCCAACUAAGUCAGACGUGAAAUCCCUCGGCUUAACCGGGGAACUGCGUCUGAUACUGGAUGGCUUGAGUUCGGGAGAGGGAUGCGGAAUUCCAGGUGUAGCGGUGAAAUGCGCAGAUAUCAGGAGGAACACCGAUGGCGAAGGCAGCUCGCUGGGACGGUACUGACGCUGAGGCGCGAAAGCGUGGGGAGCGAACAGG
Molecule: ribosomal RNA, 253 nt
Filed under: uncultured bacterium
Lineage: Bacteria
Description: partial 16S ribosomal RNA
Rfam family: Bacterial small subunit ribosomal RNA
Source: RNAcentral